Molecule: small nucleolar RNA, 105 nt
Filed under: Gossypium hirsutum (cotton)
Lineage: Eukaryota; Viridiplantae; Streptophyta; Magnoliopsida; Malvales; Malvaceae
Description: Plant small nucleolar RNA R71
Rfam family: Plant small nucleolar RNA R71
About the family: R71 is a member of the C/D box family of snoRNAs containing the C (UGAUGA) and D (CUGA) box motifs. Multiple nearly identical copies of this snoRNA have been identified in Arabidopsis, and it is thought to function as a 2'-O-ribose methylation guide for 18S ribosomal RNA.
Source: Rfam by way of RNAcentral
AGGCCGUGAUGUGGACAUUUCUGAAUUAGCGUCUUAAAACACUCCCAAGCUUUUUGAAAACUCUCCCUCUAACUGUUUGAACAUGAAAAUCUCUCUUCUUAGCUG